RNAcentral lists this ribosomal RNA (253 nucleotides) under uncultured bacterium. RNAcentral describes it as "partial 16S ribosomal RNA". It matches the Rfam family "Bacterial small subunit ribosomal RNA", at positions 524 to 776 of the family's 1533-position model. The record is from RNAcentral.
UACGUAGGGGGCAAGCGUUGUCCGGAAUCAUUGGGCGUAAAGCGCGCGUAGGCGGCCUCAUAAGUCCGUUGUGAAAGUCAAAGGCUCAACCUUUGAAAGCCGAUGGAUACUGUGAGGCUAGAGUCCGGAAGAGGCGAGUGGAAUUCCUGGUGUAGCGGUGGAAUGCGCAGAUAUCAGGAGGAACACCGGUGGCGAAGGCGGGUCUCUGGGCAGUAACUGACGCUGAGGAGCGAAAGCGUGGGGAGCGAACAGG